RNAcentral lists this ribosomal RNA (932 nucleotides) under uncultured delta proteobacterium. Its description in RNAcentral is "bacterial SSU rRNA". It matches the Rfam family "Bacterial small subunit ribosomal RNA", at positions 8 to 918 of the family's 1533-position model. Lineage: Bacteria; Deltaproteobacteria. The record is from RNAcentral.
AGAGUUUGAUCCUGGCUCAGAACGAACGCUGGCGGCGUGCUUAACACAUGCAAGUCGAACGAGAAAGCUUCCUUCGGGAAGUAAGUAGAGUGGCGCACGGGUGAGUAACGCGUAGGUAAUCUACCCUUAUGACUGGGAUAACAUUGGGAAACUGGUGCUAAUACCGGAUACACUUCUUUACUGCGGGGUAAAGGAGGAAAGGUGGCCUCUUCAUGAAAGCUACCGUAUAGGGAUGAGCCUGCGUACCAUUAGCUAGUAGGCGGGGUAACGGCCCACCUAGGCAACGAUGGUUAGCGGGUCUGAGAGGAUGAUCCGCCACACUGGAACUGGAACACGGACCAGACUCCUACGGGAGGCAGCAGUGAGGAAUAUUGCGCAAUGGGGGAAACCCUGACGCAGCGACGCCGCGUGAGUGAGGAAGGUUUUCGGAUCGUAAAGCUCUGUCAGAAGGGAAGAAGUGUUAUAUGUUUAAUACGCAUAUAAUUUGACGGUACCUUCAGAGGAAGCACCGGCUAACUCCGUGCCAGCAGCCGCGGUAAUACGGAGGGUGCAAGCGUUGUUCGGAAUUACUGGGCGUAAAGGGCGCGUAGGCGGCUGGAUAAGUCAGAUGUGAAAGUCCAUGGCUCAACUGUGGAAGUGCAUUUGAAACUGUCCGGCUUGAGUAUCGGAGGGGAGUGUGGAAUUCCCGGUGUAGAGGUGAAAUUCGUAGAGAUCGGGAGGAACACCGGUGGCGAAGGCGACACUCUGGACGAAUACUGACGCUGAGGCGCGAAAGCGUGGGGAGCAAACAGGAUUAGAUACCCUGGUAGUCCACGCCGUAAACGAUGUGAACUAGGGAUAGGGGGUGUUGAUCCCUCCUGUCCCGCAGCUAACGCAUUAAGUUCACCGCUUGGGGAGUACGGUCGCAAGAUUAAACUCAAGGAUUGACGGGG